Long non-coding RNA from Gasterosteus aculeatus aculeatus (three-spined stickleback), 1461 nucleotides. The record is from Ensembl. NCBI's taxonomy places the organism in Eukaryota, Metazoa, Chordata, Actinopteri, Perciformes, Gasterosteidae.
CCCCCACCACAGCACUCAGACUCUGGUCCUCUUUACACGAGUGCACGAGGUUGCCAUCACAGGUGUGUGUGUGUGUGUGUGUGUGUGUGUGUGUGUGUGUGUGUGUGUGUGUGUGUGUGUGUGUUGAUCCGAGGCCCUGCAGCUUUGACACCGCCAACCGAUCAGCAGGCGUUACCGUGACGACAACGAGCUGAAGCGCUGCAAGAAACCGUCUUGACAUCCUCCCGCCUCCAAACAGGAAACCGCAGCGGGGGGAGGAAGCCUCCUCGCCGUCGGCUGCACCUCCAUCGGCCUCGUUUCCUCCAGAGAGAACGCCGCUCUCCUUCACGGGGCGACUUCAGGACUUGUGAUGAGUUGUGACUCUGUUUCUUUCUACGUAUCAUUACAGCUUUGGAGAGAACGAUGUUUUACUUUAAUCUUCUUUACACGAUAUCCACAUCGAUAACAUCUCAUCAAUCAUCAUCUUUGUAGAGAUCCGGAGGAGCAACGUGGACCUGAGCAGAGAAUCAUCUCUCUUCUAGCUGCACGUUGAGCGUUGGUACAGAAACGUGGCCCAACCCUGAAACUCAGGCCCGAUUCCAGUCUGCCCGACCUCUGACCCCCGAGGAACUGAGCGUGAGCGUCUGAGGGCUUCAAACGAGGCUGCAGAUGAACCAAGAUGGCCACCGUCGUUACGGCGUUUUCUCCCCCCGGAUGAGGAUGAGGAUCCUCACAGGCUCCUCCUUCCUCUGGACCAGAACUCUGACGGAGACGCUGAGACGCGACACAGGAAACGUCUCGCUUUAAAUAAUAGUUAGAAAAGUAGUGAUACAAUGUACACAAUGAUUUUUAUUGUUUUUUAAAUGAUUUAUUUGAUCUGAUGUUUCUUUGUAUCAACAUAGUAAAUCUAAUUAUUUGCAUCCAUCUAAAAAUGGAGAAUUAAAUUGGACUCAUAAUGGUUCUUAUCUACAGCGAGUUGUAACUUGGCUUAUUUGAUGAAAUCACACUUUCUUGUUUCUUGUUCUUCCGAGUUUGUGUCCUGAUGGUUGAAAUGUUCUUAUUGAAAGUCGCUUUGGAUAAAAGCGUCAGAUAAAUGACAUGUGAUCAUUUAAUGAUACUUAAUAUAAUUUAGGUGAAUCUGCAGCUUUACUUACUUGGAUCAUUAAUAAUCAGACUUUCCCUCCGUAUUAAUAACACAUUUCCACAAAGUGUAACAAGUUCAUUCUUGUUUAAUAGUUCACAACAAGUCACAAGUCUUCCUUAUGAAAAAGAUAAAUAAAGAUUCUCUUCUCUUUGUGUCUGUUAGUGUUUUAAUUCAAACAUAAAACACACGAUUAUUGAUAAUAAUAAUAAUAAAACUUCUGCUGAAUAUGAAAUGAAAUGAAGCAGAGGAUCCGGCUGAUCUCAGACCAGCAGGAUCAGGAGUCUCUGUCGUCACGUCCGCUCGCAAAAACACUCCCCCCUCCUCCCCUCCUCCCCUCC